GAGAGACGAGUCUACCCACCACAUACAAGUGAGGAAAGUUCAGUGCUGAUGCAGAACAUGCUGGUCUCCCCCCCUUAUCACGAAUUCACGAGAGAAAAGUUUUGAUGGCGCCACCAAGUGUGUUAUUCUACUGUGUCGUGUUAUGACUACACCCGAGUAAUUUUUUUAUCGACAACAUUGCUAUGCCGGAGCUGUAGCUUAUGCUGAAUUUACUUGUAAACACUGAAAUAUUUAAUGCAAUAUUCAUUCUUAUAUUGGCGUGGUUUGACAUUGGGCAUGUCUUCACGAUUUUUUGGCGUUAGCAAUUGGAAAGAAGGUAACACAGUGGUAGAUUUGGACUAUCAAGGUGGUAAUAGUUUAUAUCUGUUUUGUUUUUUCUUGCCGCAAGUAUUCAGUUUAGGGUUGAAGGAUUUUUUUUAGGAAUUCUAUAGGAUACGAUUCGUGUAGGAAAAAAAAUUCUAGAGUCCUUUGGUUUGUAGGAAUAGAAUCAUACUAGUAUUUAUUUAGUUGGUUCUUUGACAGGGUGGUGAUUGUUUGUUCUCAAAUCUGGGUUUGGAUAUCCCGACUUUGUCCGGGCGGACCUAUCAAAAAGGAGAACUUUGGAUAUCCCGACUUUGUCCGGGCGGACCUAUCAAAAAGGAGAACGUAUAUUCAUCUUAUAUUGACAUUACAGUACAUGUAUGGCUGAACUGACAUUACAGUACAUGUAUGGCUGAACGUAUAUUCAUUUUGUAUUGAGAUUACAGUACAUGUAUGGCUUCCUGUAAUAUAUAAUUGUAUACGAUUCGAGACUUUUUUUAUGUUUUGUGGGGGUACCGAAGCAAAAGCCUAUUUCAAAGUACGUCGUAGGUGUUGAACAGUUUUGUCUUGAUAAGGUAAACGGAAUUGCUCUGCGUACGACCUGAUAGUUACGAUUCACGUCGACGUUCUGAUCCUACGAUUACCAUUGAUGCAUACAUCUGAUCCAAGGGUGGCUGAGCAGUGUCGUACAAAAAUCGUAGGUAAAUGACCCUUGUGUGGUCGGUUUCCAAACAGGAAGCCACAAUUUGUUUGAAUUUGUUUUUGAAUCUCAAGCCGAUCACCAUUUCACGCAACAAAUACUCAAACUCAAGCCAACAACGAAAGAAAUCCGCAUGAACCCCACCCAAAAACCAAAUGGAGAUAAAUUUGCACACUCAUAUACACGUGGAUCGAUCAUAUGGAGACGCUGUUGGGUAUCCCUUUCCCCGUGAGCCCCUUCUCCUGGCCGGCGACGUCCGGGAACAAGAGCGUGUACGGCACCUUGACCGGCCCCCUCCGGUUCUUGAGCCGCGGGUCCUUGUUCCUCUCCUCCACCCGCUUCUCCACCCGCCGGAGGUCCUCCCGGAACCGGUCCAGCAGGCGCAGCAGCUGGCCGUCGUCCGUCCACGUGGACGUCGCGCGCUGCCCGAGGUAGACCUCGUCGGAGGUGUGGUUGGACAGCACCUCGAUGAGGGCCAGCCCCAGCGUGGCCGUGAACCUGUCUGGCACCAUCUCCAGGAAGAACUUCUCCGGGUCCGCCUCCAGCUGCGUCAUCUCCGGCGACCCCGGCAGCGGCACGAACCGGCGGCACCGGGUGGGCCGGUUCGGCGGGAACCCCGCGUAGGCGUACUGCCCGAAGUUGACCGCCGCGUGCAGCGCGGAGGCGAUCCAGAUGAGCGUCGACAGCGUCUGCGCGAGGUGGUCGACGCUGUCCAGCGCCAGCCAGCACGCCUGGUCGCCCUGCCGGUCGCCGUGGCCGACGGUGCGGACGUCGUGCCACCACGCCUGCAGCUCCGCGUCGCCGACCACCUCCUUGUCGCCGUGGUAGAAGUGGGCGCAGUAGCUGCGCACCCACCCGUCGAUGGCGUGCCACACGUCGAGCCCGUCGACGGCGUACGGGUAGUCCUCGAUGUGCAGGGUCAGGCCGCCGGGCUCCUUGGAGCUAGAGGCAAUCCCCCUUCAUCAGAUACAAGAAUGACAGGUACAGCUCGUAAGAUUGUUACUUGUUCUCCUAAAUUUUUUGAAAACGAAAUGGAAGGAAAUGGUUUGGGUACCGCUUGAGGAGAUCAUUUGGCAGGGACUGCUCGGUGAACCUCCAGUCCCCGUAGAUGGCGGAGGACAUCUCCACGGCGUACUUCCCCGGGUACAUGGUCCGCUCCAGGAUGCCGCCGGCGUUGAGGAGUAUGCUCCUGGCCAGCGUGUUGAUCUGCAUCGUGUCCUUGAAGUGCGGCUCCAGGAGCUUGUGGACGGGGUGCAUGGCGCUCAGCUGCCUCCUCGUCGCGAUGAUGAACGGCUCCACCGCCGCGUGCGUGAACAGCCUUCAUUUCAUUUGGCCACCCGCGCGUGUCAGUUUGCCUCACUUCUGUUCAGAUGCUGCUGAUUACUACGACUAGAAUGGAACUUUGCAUCCUCACCAGUGGCUGAUGAGCUGAUGGUACCCCGAGUCGUUGACGGAGACGUGGGCCUUGGCGAGCUGCCACAGAUGCCCAUCGGUGCCGUGGCUCGCCGGGAGGAAGACCCGGCUCAGCUCGGUGUCGCCCUCGCCGUCGCUGGGCAGGCUCAGCUCGAUCACCACCGGCUUCAGGGUCCCGUCGCCCUUGAGGAACAGCAGCGUGCGCGACGCGUAGAUGCACACGCCCAGCGUGUUUAUGCGCCUCAGGUACGGCAUCAGGUAGUCAUGGUGGUCCAGGAUGUACAGCCUCUUCUGAUGCAUUGCCUGCAUUUUACAGUGAUAUUGUAUGUGCAUCAUGCAUACCAAGCAGAGAAACAUACAUUAAGGAUAGAACAGGGAGCAGUUUUCCUAACCGUUUCAAUGGUUACAUCCCCAAGCUGGCUCUUGAUGUGCUCGGCGGUUAUCGAGCUCCUCUUCCCGCCACUGCUGACCGGCGGAAAUGUCUGAGAGUGGAACAUUUGAAAGUCAGUCAAUCUCAAUGCACGUGGUGCAAGUCUACGAUCGGUCAAGAAAAUUCAGGACGAUCAGAUGACUUACUUGUAAUCUCUUGAUGGCAACAGGGUUGAGCCCUGCGAGCAUUUCCCUCGCGAACUCCUCGUCGCUCCUCCACGCCUCAGGAUCGUCUGCAGCAUGCAUCCAUCCAUCCAUCAUCCAAGAUGAAACUUGAUGCACGAUUGGGCGACAAAACUGGGAGAGAGGGAAGACCAACUGAUCGUCACUCACUCUGGAUGACUUGCGGGAUGGGGAACUUGGCGGGGUGCUCCUCCUUGACGGCCUUGGCCACCUGCUUGUAGGUCUUGUGGGACGGCACGGAGGACUUGAGCUUCUCCAUGACCUGGCCGUCCACCGCCGGCUGCACGGGCUUGCUGUACAGGUCCUUCCUCAGCAGCUCCAUGGACUUGAAGUCGUUGCCGUGGAUCAGCGUCCUCACCUCCGGGACCACGAAGUGCGUCACCGCCUGCACCCCCAGCUUGAGCACCUCCGCCAGCUUCCCCGGGCUGAACCGCUCGUCCGGCGGGAUGUAGAAGUCCAGGUUGAUCACGUGCUUCCGCGUCUCCGUCACGCCGUCUUCCAAUCAAUCAACCAGCCAUGAGAUGCAAGGUUCGUUAUUUAGGAAUGAAAUCGGCUGGAGUCUAGCAGUACCGGUUUUGCUGAUGGCGCGGCCUGUCCGGCAGCGGCGCGGGUAGGGGUGCGUCCGGGUGCCGCCGACGACCGGACGGACGUGCUCCGGGUUGUCGGGGUUGCCGAGGUCGUUGUAGCAGUCGUAGUCGUAGACGCGUUCCCAGUCCUUGCGCUCUCCCUUGCCGUCCCCUCGCAGGCUCCGCAGCUCCUCGUCCCGCAGCAGCACCAGCGCCUCCGGCGUCUUGGAAGGCAAGUAGCUCUGCGAAAUGGUGGUCACCACGAAAGAACGAACGAAACCUUCAUGCACGAGUUCACCCAGGUCACGAUAUCAAUCGAACAAACACGAACGGAUGGCCUCUGGUCUGACCGUGUUGACGAAGAAGAGGCGGUCGGAGGCGGUCUUCCUGUAGGGGUACACCCAGGAGUUGCACUCGAAGUGGAUGCUCCGGUCCUCGGCGAGCUCCAGCCGCACGUGGCGGAGGAAGAAGCGGUCGGCGCGGUUCCCGUUCCUGACGGACACGGCGCCCGGCGUGCCGAAGUCGGCGUCCACCACGAACGUGACGUGGUACGUCGUCGUGCUCGCCUUCCCGUGCCUGCUCUUCUUGCCGCCCCUCAGCGGGGCCUCCGCGCUCAGCUUCCCCUUCCCCGUCUCUGCACCCUUUCGGCAUCAGUCACAGUCGAACGCACAAGUAGCAACAGUGUUCUUCGGCAGUGCACUCACCGUGGUCGAUCUGGGUGCCGCUGAAGAGGCGCAGGGUGGUGGACUUGCCGGGCGCGGAGAGGCCGAAGGUGUUGGCGACGACGACGGUGCCAUUAACGGCGACGGCGUUCGCCGGCGGGACCGGGCUCCGAUCCCACAGCUUGGGGCAGAACGGCAUUUGCAUGGACCGGGCUAGCUAGCUAGACCAGAAGGACAGGACAGGAUGAUGCUAACUGAUUAUCCGCCGCGGAAUUCCUGUCGCAACCAAUGGAUUGGUGCCAUGAGACUAUAUACAUCUCGGUGGGGAUCCUUGGAGUGUUCUAGGAGUAGGAGGGCAUCGUUCUCUCUGUUCUCCUUUUCGCUGGAGGAGGAGAACUGGAGAAAAGCAGAAAGGGGGAGGGGAAUGUGUGCCAGCCUUCGGCCUGACCUCUUGCACCUGAUGCUGCUUCCUUUGAGCCGCAAAGGAUCCCUGCCUUGUGCUCUGGGCCUGGCGUGUGGUGGUAACUUCUGGGCUCUCGGUCACUUCCAGUUCUUUAUGAGCCCGGAAAUUUCUAGCUACCUCUCGCAUGUCGAUAAUUGGCCGUGCUAUGCUCUUUGUGUUGACCAUGUUGAUAUAUGCUCUUUGUGUAGAAAUUGGACAAAAUCAUUGUUCCGACUUUUUGAUAAUCUUUGUCACAUAGUGAAUUCGACAUGAAAGUAUUUCAACCUUUUUAAAAAGGUCAGAAUCUGUGUCGUUUUUGCUUCACAUGGAAACGUCGAGGUAGCUUGCGUCGCAGCUCCAUAUAAAAACACCUAGGUAGCUCGCGUUGUAGAUCAUAUGGCAACGCUAGAGUAUUUGACGUCUCUACCCAGGGCGUUGUUGAUCUUGAUUUUACAAUCUUGGCUCUCCUCUUUCUUGUCAGGUCGACUUUGCAAACCAGUGACAAUAUCUUCUCCAGCAACGCCAACCCCCAUGACGUUGCUGUUUCUGCCUCAGCGCCUCGUGGUGCUAACCUGCUUGCUGACAAUUUCUACUCCAGCAACGUCAACCCCAUGGCGUUUCUAGCCUGGGUAGCCCAGAUACCCUGGCGUUGCCAUAUGGUCUGCAACGCGAGCUACCUAGGUGUUUCUAUAUGAAGCUGCAACGCAAGCUACCUCGGCGUUUUCAUAUGGAGCAAAAAUGCCACGCUUUCUGACGUUUUCAAAAAAGAUCAGAUCGUGAAAUACUUUCAUGUCGAAUUCACUUUGUGACAAAGAUUGUCAAAAGGGUCCGACAGUGAUUUUAUCUCAAGAAAUUCAGCUGAAUUUAUCAAGUUCAGUUGGAUCUGACCCGAUGUGAAAAAAUUUAUGAGUCUAGGAAAAUCUAGGCUUCCCACGGUAUCGUUCUUCAUCAAUAAGGCUUAUCCACGGUUUCGUAUUUUUAAGGUCAAUUUCCAAUCCGCAAACGCUCAUACAUCCAAAUAGAUAGGCCUCAAAUACAUCCGCCCAUGCCUGGUCUCUGGGUGGUUUUCUUACAAGCAUCGUCGAGCUGUAAACCAACAUUUCCUUCCUGGUUAGCUUCACAAAGAUUAUAAUGUACUAUCAUGGUUGUUGAGAAUUGCACUUACAUGACAGUACAAGUAGGCGAGCCCAGCAGACUCCCAGGUGUAAUUCUGAUCCUAGUUGACCAAGAAGUCAAUAUACAUCCAAGAAGCAACGUCUUUGAAUGUAUCUCUAAAAACAACCUCGCUUAGGAGAUGCCACACGUAUGCUCGUGCAUACUGCUCCACUGUCUCUAGGUUGGCAGCGGCCGAGCAUCCCGACCUAUUAGCCUCGAGCCAGGCGAAUGGGACGCCGUUUGUCCUAUUGUUAGUCCUUCCCUGUUCAAAAAGAGAGGUAGAGCAGUCACCGAUGAGAGCGGUAACCCUCUGACGCCAGUUCUGAUUGUCCACUCGUCCGAUGAGAGUCUCGUCGUCAAUGGGAAGCCGUGUGAUCAUGGCAAAGUCAUUGAGCAUCACAUUUAUCUCGCCACAAGGAAGAUGAAAGUUGCAUGUCUCCAACCGCCAACGAUCAAGCAAUGCCGUGAGAGCUGCAUGGUUCAUCACCGGGGGCACGCGUUUGAUACACAUAGAACAAUAAUACUUGACUAUGCCAUAUAAAUAAUUCAUCCAAGAUUAAUAAUACUCCCAUAAUAUUCAUACAUUCUUCUUAUAUAUUCAUCAAGACAACGAUAAUACUCCAUCAUAUACAACUGCACAUCUUAAAACUAGAGAAAAUUAUAAAAAGUAAGACCUAGGUGGCACCUAGUGCCAAAUAAUACUUCAAAAAUACAAUGGUAUUGUAAAAAAUAGUUUGAGGGAUUGGAUGAGCAUACCCUCCUCUCCAUUUUGCCCUAACCCCCCCCCCUAAAAUGGUGAACGAGAGAGGGAGAUUGAAGAGGGGGGAUCGAGAGGAGGAGAGAGGCAUCGCCGCCUCUGUUUCGUGAAGAGGGGGAAGAACUAGGCUGAUGGGUGGGUGGGGUCCGCCCGCAACCCGACGGGGAUUAACCGGUGUGAGUACCCUACCGCCAGAGCUGGUGGCGGCAGGCUGGCACACCCUACCACCACCGCCUGUGGCGGUAGGCACCUAAUCCACAUCAGCACGGCAGAGGUGUCGUCUGACUUCACGGGACCCUACCGCCAGCGAUCAUGGCGGUAGCCUGUACAUCCCUACCACCACAAGAGGUGGCGGUAGGAAAAGGGUGAGAUCUGAUUUUUUUCUAGAUCGGGGUCAGAUCGAGUUGAACUUGUCCAAAAAGGUCAAAAAAGUGAUUUUUCUCACGCAAAAAAGAAUAUAAAAUAUAGAACGAUCAACAGAGCAAGGAGCGAUGCUGGGAAUUUCUUGGAAGCCGUUUGGUUGUCCUAGAAUCGACGACUGGAAUAGCUCGGAGGUGGUUAUAUCAUGUCUAACGGAUCGUGUAAAUCGGGUCAUCUAACAAAAUAAUCAAUGAAGGCGAUUUUUUGACUCAAAUACAUUUCGUAUAUUCGUUAAUCCCAAAAUAAUUACGGGUAUCCUACAAACCGCGACCCAUUUUCGCCUUUCCUUGACAUGAAGGUCCUUUUCGGGAUCAACACCUGCUUUUGUCAGAUCUCCUUUUCUUGGGAUGAAGCUCCUUUCCAUAUGCUUGUGUUACCGCCCCACUCCUUGCCGCCGCACCUCCCAUCGGUUCUUUCUACCCCCGGCUUCACCUCACCAUAUGUUAGCUCCUCAGCCCCGCGUUGCAUCUAUUCCACCAAGUUUGAGAACAUGGCGUGCCCAUUUGUCUUCGCGGGCCUACGACCAUCGUCGGUGCCAUCGAUCCACCCUAGAGCUUGGCGCGCGAUCUUGUAACCGGCAGAUCUGGUUGGUUCCGGCGUUACUGUUGGAAAUAUGCCCUAGAGGCAAUAAUAAAUUGGUUAUUAUUAUAUAUCCUUGUUCAUGAUAAUCGUUUAUUAUCCAUGUUAGAAUUAUAUUGAUUGGAAACUCAAAUACAUGUGUGGAUACAUAGACAACACACUGUCCCUAGUGAGCCUCUAGUAGACUAGCUCGUUGAUCAAAGAUGGUCAAGGUUUUCUGGCCAUAGACAAGUGUUGCCACUUGAUAACGGUAUCACAUCAUUAGGAGAAUGAUGUGAUGGACAAGACCCAUACUAUGAACGUAACAUAUGAUCGUGUCAGUUUAUUGCUACUGUUUUCUACAUGUCAAUGUAUCUGUUCCUAUGACCAUGCAACUCCCGGACACCGGAGGAAUACCUUGUGUGUAUCAAACGUCGCAACGUUACUGGGUGACUAUAAAGGUGCUCUACAGGUAUCUCUGAAGGUGUGUGUUGGGUUGGCAUGGAUCAAGACUGGGAUUUGUCACUCCGUGUGACGGAGAGGUAUCUCGGGGCCCACUCGGUAAUACAACAUCACAAUAAGCCUUGCAAGCAAUGUGACUAAGGAGUUAGUCACGGGAUCUUGUAUUACGAAACGAGUAAAGAGACUUGCCGGUAACGAGAUUGAACUAGGUAUGGCAAUACCGAUGAUCGAAUCUCGGGCAAGUAACAUACCGAUGGACAAAGGGAACUGCAUACAGGAUUGAUUGAAUCCUUGACAUCGUGGUUCGACUGAUAAAGAUCUUCGUAGAAUAUGUAGGAACCAAUAUGGGCAUCCAGACCCGCUAUUGGUUAUUGACCGUAGAGGUGUCUCGGUCAUGUCUCCAUAAUUCUCGAACUCGCAGGGUCUGCACACUUAACGUUCGAUGACGCUAGAGUAGUAUUGGGAUAUGUAUGUUGGUGACCGAAUGUUAUUCGGAGUCCCGGAUGAGAUCCCGGACGUCUUGAGGAGCUCCGGAAUGGUCCGGAGGUAAAGAUUUAUAUAUGGGAAGUCCUAUUUUGGCUACCUGAAAAGUUUUGGGUUUUAUCGGUAUUGUACCGAGAGGCUUCUAGAAGGUUCCAGAAUGUUCCAGAGGGUUCUGCAGGUGUCCGGAAGGGUCCCUCCAUCCCCUAGGACGUGAAUGGGCUGGAAGCGGGCGCCCAAGCCAUGUUGGGCCAGCCCCCAAGGGCCCAUGCAGUUCGGUGGGAAGAGUCCCUAAAGGGGAAGGCACUUGCUAGGUGCCUUGGGGAGGGAGGAAACCUCCCUAGGCCCACGCCCCCUCCUUGGAGGAGGAGCUAGGGCUGCGACCCAACUUUCCUCCUAGCCUCCUAUAUAUAGUGGGGGAGAGGGAGGGGCUGAACACACUAAUUCCCACGCCCCGGUGGCAGCCCUACCUCUCCCAUAACUCCGUUUUCUCCUCAGAUCGAUUCCGGCAGCGCUUGGCGAAGCCGUGCUGACACUGCUCCACCAUCAUCUCCGCCAUACCGUUGUGCUGGUUGAGAUCCCAUCUACUUCUCCUUCGUCUCUUGCUGGAUCAAGAAGAAGGAGACGUCAGCGAGCCGUACGUGUGCCGGACGCGGAGGUGUCGUCCGUUCGGCGCUAGACCGGGAAGGAUCGUGAUGAGAUUGCGGGACGGAUCGUGAUGAGAUCGUGAGACGGAUCGUGAUGAGAUCAUGGGACGGGCUGCGAUUUGGAUGAUGAAUAUGUUCCACUACAUCAACCGCGUUAUAUAUGCUCCCGCUUAGCGAUCUACGAGGGUAUGUAGAUUCACUCUCCCCUCUCGUAGAUGAUCAUCACCAUGGAUAGGUAUUGCGUCUGCGUAGGAAUUUUUUUGUUUCCCAUGCAAUGUUCCCCAUCAGUGGCAUCAUGAGCUAGGUUCAUGCGUAGAUGAUAUCUCGAGUAGAACACAAAAGAGUUUGUGGGCGUUGAUGUUCAAUUUACUGCCCUCCUUAGUCUUUUCUUGAUUCGACGGUAUUAUUGGAUUGAAGUGGCCCGGACCAACAUUACUCGUAUGCUUAUGAGAGACCGGUUUCAUCGACUAACAUGCAACUUGUUGCAUAAAGACGACUGGCGGGUGCAUGUUUCUUCAACUUUAGUUGAAUCAGAUUUGACCGAGGCGGUCCUUGGAGAAGGUUAAAUAGCAAUUUGCAUAUCACCGUUGUGGUUUUGCGUAAGUAAGAUGCGUUCAUACUAGAUACCCAUAGCAGCCACGUAAAACAUGCAACAACAAAUUAGAGGACGUCUAACUUGGUUUUGCAGGGUAUGCAUGUGAUGUGAUAUGGCGAGUGACAUGAUAUGAUAUAUUGGAUGUACGAUAUGAUCAUGUUGUAAUACUUAAAUAUCGACUUGCACGUCGAUGCUACAACAACCGACAUGAGCCAUAGGGUUGUCUUUAAAUUUAUUUUGCGCUUGCAGAUGCUCUUGCUAUAUUGCUAGGCAGUAGCUAUAGUAGUAACAACAUAGAUAGCGCGGCAACCUCGAUAGCAGCACGAUGAUGGAUAUCAUGGUGCGGCGCUGGUGACGAUGGAGAUCAUGCCGGUGGUUUGAUGAUGGAGAUCAAGAAGCACAAGUUCAUGGCCAUAUCAUGUCACUUAUGAUUUGCAUGUGAUGUUAUUCCUUUUAUGAACCUUGUUUUUCUUAGGACGACGGUAGCAUUAUAAGGUGAUCCCUCACUAAAAUUGCAUAAUAAAAUUGUGUUCUCCCCGACUGUGCACCAUUGUGACAGUUCGUCGUUUCGAGACACCACGUGAUGAUCGAGUGUGAUAGACUCAACGUUCACAUACAGUGAGUGCAAAACAGUUGCACAACGGAACACUCAGGUUAAACUUGACGAGUCUAGCAUGUACAGACAUGGCCACGAAACACAAUAGACCUAAAGAUCGAGCAUGAAUAUAGUUGAUAUGAUCAUCAUGGAGAUGUUCACCAUUGAAACUAAUCUCAACUCACGUGAUGAUCAGAGUUGAGUUAGUGGAUUUGGAUCACGCGCCACUCGAAUGACUAGAGGGAUGUCUAUUUGAGUGGGAGUUCUUAAGUAAUAUGAUUAAUUGAAGUCAUUAUCAUGAACAUAGUCAAAAGGUCUUUGCAAAUUAUGUUGUAGCUUGCGCUGUAGCUCUACUAUUUUAAAUAUAUUCCUAGAGAAAAUUUAGUCGAAAGAUGAUAGUAGCAAUUAUGCGAACUGGGUCCGUAAACUGAGGAUUGUCCUCAUUGUUGCGCAGAAGGCUUAUGUCCUUAAUGCACCGCUCGAUGUGCUGAACCUCGAGCAUCGUAUGUGGAUGUUGCGAACAAGUGACAUACAUGUUUUUGAUGACCACGUGAUAGUUCAGUGCGUAAUGCUUAAACAACUUAGAAUUGAGGCGCUGAAGACGUUUCGAACAUCACGGGACAUACGAGAUGUUCCAAGAGAUGAAAUUGGGAUUUCAUGCUCGUGCCCAUGUUGAGAGGUAUGAGACCUCCGAUAAGAUUCUUUGUCUACAAAGUAAGGGAGAAAAGCUCAAUCAUUGAGCAUGUACUCAGAUUGUCUGAGUGCUACAAUCGCUUGAACCGAGUGGUAGUGAAUCUUCCACAUGAGAUAGUGAUGGUUCUCCAAAGUCACUUUCACCAAGCUACUAGAGCUUCGUGAUGAACUAUAACAUAUCAGGGAUAGAUAUGAUGAUCCUUGAGCUAUUCGCGAUGUUUGACACCGCGAAAGUAGAAAUAAAAAAGGAGCAUCAAUUGUUGUUGGUUAGUAAAACCACUAGUUUCAAGAAGGGCAAGGGCAAGAAGGGGUACUUCAUGAAACGACAAACAAGUUGCUGCUCUAGUGAAGAGACCCAAGGUUGAACCCAAACCCGAGACUAAGUACUUCUGUAAUAAGGGGAACAAUCACUAAAGCGGAUCUACCCUAGAUACUUGGUAGAUGAGAAGGCUGGCAAAGUCGACAAAAGUAUAUUGGAUAUACAUAAUAUUGAUGUGUACUUUACUAGUACUCCUAGUAGCACGAGGGUAUUAGAAUAAACUGAGACUAGCUAAAGGCGAGGUGACGAUGUGUGUUGGAAGUGUUUCCAAGGUUGAUGUGAUCUCCAUCGCACGCUUCCUCUACCAUUGGGAUUAGUGCUAAACCUAAAUAAUUGUCAUUUGGUGUUUGCGUUGAGCAUAGACAUGAUUAGAUUGUGUUUAUUGCAGUACAAUUAUUAAUUUAAAGAUAAUAAUGGUUAUUCUAUUUACUUUAAUAUUACCUUCAAUGGUAUUGCACCUAAAAUAAAUGGUUUAUUGAAUCUCGAUCGUAGUGAUACACAUCUUCAUAAUAUUGAUGCCGAAAGAUACAAAGUAGUAAUGAUAGUACCACUUACUUGUGGCAGUGCCACUUGAGUCAUAUUGAUAUAAAACACAUGAAGAAGCUCCAUGCUGAUGGAUCUUUGGACUCACUCAUUUUUGAAACAUUUGAGACAUGCGAACCAUGUCUAUUGGUAUAAACGCAUGAAGAAACUGCAUGCAGAUGGAUCGUUUGGACUCGCUUGAUUUUGACUCACUUGAGACAUGCAAAUCAUACCACAUGAGCAAUAUGAUUGAAGGUCUCGUUUUCCAGUGAGAUGGAACGAGAAAGUAACUUGUUGGAAGUAAUACAUUUUGAUGUGUGCUAUCUAAUGAGUGCUAAGGCACGUAGUGGAUAUCGUUAUGUUCUUACUUCACUGAUGAUUUGAGUAGAUACAAGAGUAUUUGCUUGAUGAAUCACAAGUCUAAAAUAUUGAGAAGUUCAAGCUAUUUCAGAUGAAGAUCGUCGUGACAAGAGGAUAAUAUGUCUACGAUGUGAUCGUGGAGGUAAAAUCUGAGUUGCGAGUUUGGUAAGACAUUGUGGAAAUUGUUUCACAACUAAAGCCACCUGGAACACCAUGGUGUGAUGGUGUGUCCGAACAUCAUAGCCGCGCCCUAUUGGAUAUGGUGCAUACUAUGAUGUCUCUUAUCGAACUGCCACUAUCUUUUUGGGUUAGGCAUUAGAGACAACCGCAUUCACUUUAAAUAGGGCACCACAUAAUUCCGCUGAGAUGACAUCGUAUAAACUAUGGUUUGGAGAAACCUAAGCUGUCAUUUCUUAAAAGUUUGGGGCUGCGACGCUUAUGAGAAAAAGUUUCAGUCUGAUAAGCUCCCAAAGCGGAUAAAUGCAUCUUCAUAGGAUAGCCAAAAUAGUUGGGUAUACCUCCUAUCUCAGAUCCGGAAUCAAAGUGUUCGUUUCCAGAAACGGGUCCUGUCUUGAGAAAAAGUUUCACUCGAAAGAAUUGAGUGGGAGGAUGGUGGAAACUUGAUGAGGUUAUCGAACCGUCACUUCAACCAGUGUGUAGUAGGGCACAUGAAGUUUUUCCUGUGGUUCCUACACCAAUUAAAUUGGAAGUUGAUGAUAGUGAUCAUGAAGCUUCAGGAUCAAGUUACUACAAACCUCGUAGGUCGACAAGGUCACGUAUUUCUCUAGAGUGGUACGAUAACCCUGUCUUGGAGGUCAUGUUGUGUAACGCCCAAGAUGCGAUCCUAUCCUUAAUUUGGCACGAGGGCCUCGUCAGGGAUAGAAGCGCAUCUCGUCGUUUCGCGAUAAUGGAUAUCGUUACAAGUACAUGUACUGAAAAGAUGAUAUAUAUGGAAUUGGCUUACACUCGCCACAAGCUACAUCAGAGUCACAUCAGUACAAUACAUAAUCAUCAUGAAGAAGAGUGGGGUCCGGCUACGGACGAAAACAAACGAGAAAAGAAGAACGACGUCCAUCCUUCCUAUCCCAGGCUGCCGGCCUGGAACCCAUCCUAGAUCGAUGAUGAAGAAGAAGAAGCAACUCCAAAUGAACAAUCAACGCGCUCGUGUCAAGUAACCUUUACCUGUAUGUGCAACUGGUGUUGUAGUAAUCUGUGAGCCACACGGGACUCAGCAAUCUCAUUUCCAAAGGUAUCAAGACUAGCAAAGCCUAAUAGGUGAGGUAUGGUUAAGUUGUGAGGCUGCAGCAACGGCNNNNNNNNNNNNNNNNNNNNNNNNNNNNNNNNNNNNNNNNNNNNNNNNNNNNNNNNNNNNNNNNNNNNNNNNNNNNNNNNNNNNNNNNNNNNNNNNNNNNNNNNNNNNNNNNNNNNNNNNNNNNNNNNNNNNNNNNNNNNNNNNNNNNNNNNNNNNNNNNNNNNNNNNNNNNNNNNNNNNNNNNNNNNNNNNNNNNNNNNNNNNNNNNNNNNNNNNNNNNNNNNNNNNNNNNNNNNNNNNNNNNNNNNNNNNNNNNNNNNNNNNNNNNNNNNNNNNNNNNNNNNNNNNNNNNNNNNNNNNNNNNNNNNNNNNNNNNNNNNNNNNNNNGUGAGGCUGCAGCAACGGCUAAGCAUAUAUUUGGUGGCUAAACUUACGAGUACAAGAAAUAAGAGGGGGAAGAUCUACGCAUAGCGGACGUGACUACUGAUGAUCAAAUGAAUGAACCUGAACACCUACUUACGUCAGGCAUAACCCCACCGUGUCCUCGAUCGGAGAAGGAACUCACGAAAGAGACAAUCACGGCUACGCACUCAGUUGACAUAUUUUAAUUAAGUUGACUUCAAGUUAUCUAGAACCAGUGUUAAACAAAGUUUCCACAUUGCCACAUAACCGCGAGCACGGCUUUCCGAGAAAAUUUUAACCCUGCAGGGGUGCUCCAACUAGUCCAUCACAAAUUACCACAAGCCGCAAAGAAAUCCUCGAUCACGAAGCUCGCGAUCUCGUCGGACUCCUUAGUGGAAAACCUCUACUCUGAGAUUACCCAAAGCAUCACCGGAAUCCCGAUGCACAAGAUAUCUCGUAAAAGGUAAAACUAAUUGAGCAAGGCCACCCGGUGUGUCGACGAACCCAAUAGGAGCCGCGUAUCUCGUUCUCAGGACAUACCGUCUAUGCAUAGUGGACGGUAGCCAAACGCUCGAGUUGCCCCGAGGUGGCACCGCCGACUGCUAGGUGGGUGGACCAACACUCAUGCGGAGCACUGGCCCGGGGGUUGAUUAAAUUACUCCGCGGGUGCCGGCGGAUCUCUAUGCAAUUUUAUUAGUUAUUAGGCAAAUGUAGUACCAAAGUUAAGGCCUUGCCAGACCAGCUUUAAUCUAAAAUGAAUUAUCAAGGGGGUCCCCAUAACAACCCCGAUCGUGUUAGGAGCGCUCAUUUAUGGAACAUAACACCGGUAGCCGAAACUAAGGGGGCAAAGGUGGAACAAAACACCAGGCUAGAAAGGCCAAGCCUUCCAGUUGUUACCAAGUAUAUAUGUCCAUUAAAUUAAAUAGCAUUUAAUAGGGUGAUAUAACAAGGAACCAUGUUGUCACAUGGAAGCAACUGCACCUGCAACUAGCAACACUAACACAUGGUUAAGCAAGCGGUAACAUAGCCAAUCAGUGGUUUUCUAGGUUGUGAACAGGUUGAAGGUUUUCAUGGCAAUGAUGAGAGGCUGAUAUUUAACAUGUGGUAGGCAACGAGACAUAGCGACAGAAACGAUAAUACUAGCAUGGCAAUGAUAGUAAUGGUAUCUGGGGAAAUGGUCAUCUUGCCUGAGAUCCCGCUUGGAAGAAGAAUGACUCCGUGAAGCAGACGAACCGAUGUAGUCGAACGGGUCCUCACUUUCCGACACGCUUGCGGAACUCUAUCGAGACGAAGAAAACCGGAAACAAGAAUCAACACACGAUAUUCAUCACACGAUGCACAACACAUAUGAUGCAUGAAUGGAGAAUAUAUGCAAGACAUGGCAUGGCAAUUCACAACACUCAAACACUACACAUUAAGUGAAGUUCAAUAUGCAACGAGUUGCAUAUUGACGAAACUCCAAAUUUAAUUAUUUAGUUCUAUCCCUAUUAGAUACACGGCAAUAUUAGAUGUGGUUAAACAUGGCAAGAGGUGAAGCGUAAUUAAACUACCUAUCUAGGCAUUUUAAAUGAGGUCGGAAAUGACAUAUAGCAUCUCCGAAACGACCUCACAUGUUAAUUUGUAAUUCUGUCCAGAUCUGAACUAACACUUUUAAAUAGUUGUUAAACAGCAAAAUAAAUAUGUUCACGUGAUUCUACGCGUCGUUACAAGCAAUUUACACAUAGAGAACAUCUCCAACGGAGCUACGGUUCAAAAGAUACAAACACCGCAAGAUAUGAUGGCAUGAAUGCAAAAUGUGUGCAACGACAGUCACAUGCAUUUUAAAACACACAACCAGCAAUAUAAUAUGAAACUACACGAGAUUCUAAGAAAGUUCCAUAUAGGACACGAUCAAAACGGAGCAACGGUUCAACAACUACGAGCUAAACAAGAAAUCACUACAAUCUGCCAAAAUCAGCCACAUAGCAUUUUCUACACCCCACAACUACGAGCUACACAAAUCUAAAAUGCACAACCAAGACAUGAGACGGUAGAGGGCAAGAAGCACUACAACAUACAAGUAAUAACACCUAGCAUGGAAGCAUGGAUCACUAGGAAAAGAAGUCACAAAAUGGCUUCUCGCACAUUGUUUCAGACUUAGUGAAAAUAACAGUUUAUGAAAAUGCAAUUUUCGAUCUGAAGGCAUAUUGACAGCAGCAAAACCAUAAGCUAAAGGACUCCAAAUGGCAUGAAACUUCACAUCAUGCUAGAGAAUCCUAAAGCCUGCAACUAACUCCAUUGCACCAAUCUCAAAAGAGCUACAGAUCACCAGAUAAACUCAUGCAAAGACAGCAACAAAAUAUAACAGAUUCAGACUUAGAAAUAUUU
RNAcentral lists this long non-coding RNA (16279 nucleotides) under Hordeum vulgare. RNAcentral's name for it is "long non-coding RNA (HVUL_LNC001577)". The record is from RNAcentral. Lineage: Eukaryota; Viridiplantae; Streptophyta; Magnoliopsida; Poales; Poaceae.